UUCGCCGAACUGUGAGAACGUCCUCUCUAGCUCAGCAUCUCCGGUGGCCCAUGCUAGGCCGCCGACGAAACACCGGUACUCAACUUCAGACAUUUUUUUUUCUAACAGACGGAGAAAAGUAAAGGUUAGAGAGAGAGAAAGAGACUUGUGAUUUGAGAUGAUAAGACGGAACCUUAAUUUAUAGAAGGAGAUGACGUAGUAACUGGGGUUAAGAUAUUUUCUAGGGCUGCCGAGAGAUGGGUGUAACUAUGAUUAGGAAGUGCGGUUAAAUGGUUAGUGGAUAGGCCCACCAUCAUCAUGUGAGUGAGUGUGUGCACUUUGGGAAAACAAAGAUUUCUUUCUCCUCGUUCCGGGCAAACAAAAUAUCUCUGCAUUUAAAUAUCUUUUAUUCUCCCAGAUGAUAUGACGCUUUUAUCCUCCGUCUCUUCUCUAAUGUGAGAACUAUUGGGCCUGAAUAUUACUACAGCUUUGGCCCAUUGAAUCUGACGGCAAAUGAGAUUGUAUGUUACUCUUGGGUCACUUCUGGUCGGAAGCUGAAUGGGAUCGCUGAUCGGUGUAUGAAUAAAAGUAAUUAAAGGUCAAACGACGGCGUUUCAUUGUAGGGUUUAGUCCAUUUCAUCGGUCGUUUCCUUCCUCGAGAAUCUCCAGUUCAAGGAAAAACAAAUUUAGGAAUCUAAAAGUCAGAGAUGGCAUCGGUUUGCAGAUCAUUUCUAAUGAGUGGUUCAAGAAACUUAGUAUCGAGAUCAAGAACCGUAACUCAAAAGUGCAUCAAUCUUAAACCCACGACGACAACGACUUCGUCUCACUUUGCUUCAGUCUCCCAAUCCAUCCCUCGCGCUUCAAGGUGACCACACUCAGUUUCUAAUCCUUAAUUGCCUAUAGAGUCCUCAGAAAAACACGAAAAUUUAGAGAACAGCCAUGUUUUAAAUGUGAAGGGUUCUGUCGGCAUUGGGAAGCGUUGAAACGAUGAUACCACUUCAUAGUGCGGUUCCACACUCUUUUAAAUUUUGUGAACAAACAGAGUUACUUUUUUUUCAGACAAAGUAAACUAGAACUCUGUUCAACCACUGCACAUAAUGUUUCAAGUCGCAAAGAUAUGACCAUACAUCUUCAAAAUUACGUGAUUCUGUUAAUAGUUAUGUUAAGAUAAUUUCACGGAGAAAGUCUGUUCACAUUUUGCCAUCAAUACAUAUGGGUACUUUCACUUGGCUGAUUUGGAGAAAAUAUUGGCCAAUUUGUUACUUCAAAAUUUAUUAUAUUCAAUACUGAAAACAACCUUUUUGGGAAUUUUGAAAUCUUUUAUUUCCAUUUCAAAUAAUCGAAGAUAUCUUCUUUACUUGAUGUCGACAUUGAAAGAAAAGUAUAAUUAUAAAAACGGAAAGAGAAUAUUCGGAGUAUAUCAGUGUCUUUUUAGCUUAUAUUCUUAAUCAAAAACGAAGAGAUAAGAUCUGGUCUAAAUCUAAAACAACUCAUAUCAUCUAAUCAAUCUUUUAAACGCAAUAAUGAUAGCAUCUUAAAUCAAAAGAUAUAAGGUAGGGAGUGGGGAAUAUUAACACACUAAUAAUUCAAAAACAUAGGCUGAAAUAUAUAAAUGAGUUCAUAAUAGCUGAUCGGGCGACGAACGAGUAUAAUGCGACGGUGAAAAAAAAAGAAAUCAAGAGAAGCUUAUAAUUUAGAGAACAAGAUGCGAUUUAACAUUUCGUUUCAGGCAAGCAAGACUUUAACGAUCCGUUAAAACAAAAAAGUAAACAAGAAAUCCAGAACCAAACCAAACCGGAGAAACAUUCAUACGGAAGCAAGUCUAAACCGAAAACAGAGCACCACUUCAUCUUCGAUUACCAUCCACCGCCUCCACUUCCUCCUCCGUAGCCACCGUCACCACCUCCGUAGCCACCUCCAUCACGUCUGCCACCACCACCACCGUAUCCUCCACCUCCAGAUCCGUAACCGCCGCCUCCACGGCCGCCACCUCCAGAUCCGUAACCGCCGCCUCCACGUCUGUCACCGUAUCCACCGCCGCCUCCACCGUAUCCACCACCUCCACGGCCACCGUAUCCACCUCCACCACGGCCUCCUCCACCGCCGCCUCCUCUGGACUGAGCCUCGUUGACGGUGAUGGUACGACCGUCGAGCUCCUUCCCGUUCAUCUCAUCGAUGGCAUCCUUCAUGGACUUCUCAUCCUUGAAGGUCACGAAUCCGAAUCCCCUCGAUCUCCCAGUCUCACGAUCGUUAAUGAUCUGUCAAAAACCAAAUCAAAAACAAUAAUCAGCAAAAGAGCAAUCAUUAAAGCUGAAUGAAUCAAAAAAAAAGCGAUGGAUGAAACAAAGAAAUCGAACGUUCUCCGGGCUCGUAAAAGCAGCAGGAAGAUUAAACGUACCGAUGGGACAAAGCAAGUAACAGUAGUAACAAAGAACAUAGUAACAGAGUAAUCGAAUCAAGUAACAGAGAUACACAGAUCGGAAUCAGAUCCGCCGAGGAUCAGAACCAUCCUCGAGUCCGAUCUCUCGUGUAACGGACCUUUGAAUCGAUAACUUCGCCGAACUGUGAGAACGUCCUCUCUAGCUCAGCAUCUCCGGUGGCCCAUGCUAGGCCGCCGACGAAACACCGGUACUCAACUUCAGACAUUUUUUUUUCUAACAGACGGAGAAAAGUAAAGGUUAGAGAGAGAGAAAGAGACUUGUGAUUUGAGAUGAUAAGACGGAACCUUAAUUUAUAGAAGGAGAUGACGUAGUAACUGGGGUUAAGAUAUUUUCUAGGGCUGCCGAGAGAUGGGUGUAACUAUGAUUAGGAAGUGCGGUUAAAUGGUUAGUGGAUAGGCCCACCAUCAUCAUGUGAGUGAGUGUGUGCACUUUGGGAAAACAAAG
RNAcentral lists this long non-coding RNA (2864 nucleotides) under Brassica napus (rape). RNAcentral describes it as "long non-coding RNA (BNAP_LNC009083)". The record is from RNAcentral. Lineage: Eukaryota; Viridiplantae; Streptophyta; Magnoliopsida; Brassicales; Brassicaceae.